GGUGGAUGUGGAUGAAUUGAAGACGGUUGCUCAGGAUUGGGCUGUGGAAGCAAUGCCAACUUUCAUAUUCCUGAGAGAGGGAACUAUUUUGGACAAGGUAGUGGGAGCAAAUAAAGAUAAACUGCAUGAGACUAUUGCAAAGCACAUGGCUACUGCUUCUGCAUGAAGAUAUAAUUUCCUUGUGUCUUUACCAUUGUCAUUAGUAAUUUGUGUUCUUUUAAACCUUAGAUCAUAUUUGAGGUAGACUGUUUUUUAAAAAGUACUAUUUGAUGAUGUUGAAAAAAUAAACAUAUUGAACUGGUUUCCAUGAUUCUAUCAUUGUAUGGCAUAGGGUUCUUUUAUUGGAAUUGGUUUGCUUAUUUUUCUUUGCUU
RNAcentral lists this unclassified non-coding RNA (372 nucleotides) under Hevea brasiliensis (rubber tree). The record is from RNAcentral. Lineage: Eukaryota; Viridiplantae; Streptophyta; Magnoliopsida; Malpighiales; Euphorbiaceae.